AGUGAACGCUGGCGGUAGGCCUAACACAUGCAAGUCGAACGGCAGCACAGUAAGAGCUUGCUCUUACGGGUGGCGAGUGGCGGACGGGUGAGGAAUACAUCGGAAUCUACUUUUUCGUGGGGGAUAACGUAGGGAAACUUACGCUAAUACCGCAUACGACCUACGGGUGAAAGCAGGGGAUCUUCGGACCUUGCGCGAUUGAAAGAGCCGAUGUCGGAUUAGCUGGUUGGCGGGGUAAAGGCCCACCAAGGCGACGAUCCGUAGCUGGUCUGAGAGGAUGAUCAGCCACACUGGAACGGAGACACGGUCCAGACUCCUACGGGAGGCAGCAGUGGGGAAUAUUGGACAAUGGGCGCAAGCCUGAUCCAGCCAUACCGCGUGGGUGAAGAAGGCCUUCGGGUUGUAAAGCCCUUUUGUUGGGAAAGAAAAGCAGCAGGUUAAUACCCCGCUGUUCUGACGGUACCCAAAGAAUAAGCACCGGCUAACUUCGUG
This 492-nucleotide ribosomal RNA is filed under the name uncultured bacterium. RNAcentral describes it as "partial 16S ribosomal RNA". It matches the Rfam family "Bacterial small subunit ribosomal RNA", at positions 29 to 507 of the family's 1533-position model. The record is from RNAcentral.